This 253-nucleotide ribosomal RNA is filed under the name uncultured bacterium. RNAcentral's name for it is "partial 16S ribosomal RNA". It matches the Rfam family "Bacterial small subunit ribosomal RNA", at positions 524 to 776 of the family's 1533-position model. The record is from RNAcentral.
UACAGAGGUGGCAAGCGUUGUUCGGAAUUACUGGGCGUAAAGGGCGCGUAGGCGGCCUUCUAAGUCAGACGUGAAAUCCCCCGGCUUAACCUGGGAACUGCGUCUGAUACUGGGAGGCUUGAGUAUGGGAGAGGGAUGUAGAAUUCCAGGUGUAGCGGUGAAAUGCGUAGAUAUCUGGAGGAAUACCGGUGGCGAAGGCGGCAUCCUGGACCAUAACUGACGCUGAGGCGCGAAAGCUAGGGGAGCGAACCGG